AUCUGAGAUUCCUGUUAAAUGUACAUGAGUUGGCUCUGCGCUGGUCUCCACAGCCACCCACUUCUACAUCAGGAAGGGAAGCCCGUGUAUUUCCUCCCCUUCUUUAUCGAGAGGAAGUGCUGAAAUAAGCAUCAGCAGCGGAGCGCCCCAGCACCUUCUCCACUAGCCACUCAGUUGGAGUCCGAGGAAGAAGUCGGAGGAGUUUACAGCCGCAGAAUCACCAUGAAGACCAUCAGGGUUCUUGUCCUCCUCCUGCUAGCAUCUGUCCAUGUCUUCACACCAGUUUCAUCAGAUCACUCAGGAGGGACACCAGCAGAAAUAACAUCGCCCACAACAGCAAAACCAACAGCAGCAGCAACAGCAGCACCAGCAGCAGCAGCAACAGCAGCAACAGC
Molecule: long non-coding RNA, 395 nt
Organism: Cottoperca gobio
Lineage: Eukaryota; Metazoa; Chordata; Actinopteri; Perciformes; Bovichtidae
Exons: 3
Source: RefSeq, a predicted model, not a curated record